AUGGCGGCGGCGGCGCCGGCGGGCGAGCCGGAGGUGAUCCGGGACAAGGCGGCGAUGCGGGCGUGGUCGCGGCGCCAACGCGCCGAGGGCAAGACGGUGGUGCUCGUGCCCACCAUGGGCUUCCUCCACGAGGGCCACCUCUCGCUCGUCUCCGCCGCGGCGGCCGUGCCCGGCCCCGUCGCCGUCGUCGUCUCCAUCUACGUCAACCCCAGCCAGUUCGCCCCCACCGAGGACCUCGCCACCUACCCCUCCGACCUCGCCGGGGACCUCCGCAAGCUCGCCUCCACCGGCGCCGUCCACGCCGUCUUCAACCCCCCGGACCUCUACCACCGCGGCGCCGCUGUCUCUGCCCGCCGCGCCGCCGAGGCUCCCUCCUGCCUGGACGCGGGCGGGGACGGCCACGAGACGUGGAUCCGGGUGGAGCGGCUGGAGAAGGGGCUGUGUGGGGCCAGCCGGCCAGUCUUCUUCCGCGGGGUGGCCACCGUCGUCGCCAAGCUGUUCAACGUCGUCGAGCCCGACGUCGCCAUGUUCGGGAAGAAGGAUUAUCAGCAGUGGCGCCUCAUCUGCCGAAUGGUUCGCGACCUUGAUUUUGCCGUGGAGAUUGUAGGAUCAGAAAUAGUGCGAGAAGCAGAUGGUCUUGCCAUGAGCUCUCGCAACGUCCGCCUAUCGCCUGAAGAAAGGGAGAAGGCAUUAUCCAUUAGUAGAUCACUGGUAAAUGCUAGAACUGCUGCGUUGAAUAAUAGCAACAGUGCUAGCGAACAUAUAAAGGAUCAGAUAGUGCAGACGCUGACUGAAGCUGGCGGUCGUGUUGAUUAUGUUGAGACUGUGGAGCAGGAAAGUUUGGUACCUGUGGAGACGAUCGACCGCCCUGUUGUCAUUUGUGUCGCCGCAUGGUUUGGAAAGGUUAGAUUGAUCGACAAUAUCGAAAUUCAUAUACAAUCCUGA
RNAcentral lists this ribosomal RNA (945 nucleotides) under Triticum aestivum (bread wheat). RNAcentral describes it as "partial small subunit ribosomal RNA". The record is from RNAcentral. Lineage: Eukaryota; Viridiplantae; Streptophyta; Magnoliopsida; Poales; Poaceae.